This 478-nucleotide ribosomal RNA is filed under the name uncultured bacterium. RNAcentral describes it as "partial 16S ribosomal RNA". It matches the Rfam family "Bacterial small subunit ribosomal RNA", at positions 28 to 523 of the family's 1533-position model. The record is from RNAcentral.
GACGAACGCUGGUGGCGUGCUUAACACAUGCAAGUCGAGCGAUGAAGCUCCUUCGGGAGUGGAUUAGCGGCGGACGGGUGAGUAACACGUGGGUAACCUGCCUCAUAGAGGGGAAUAGCCUUCCGAAAGGAAGAUUAAUACCGCAUAAGAUUGUAGUGCCGCAUGGUACAGCAAUUAAAGGAGCAAUCCGCUAUGAGAUGGACCCGCGUCGCAUUAGCUAGUUGGUGAGGUAACGGCUCACCAAGGCGACGAUGCGUAGCCGACCUGAGAGGGUGAUCGGCCACAUUGGGACUGAGACACGGCCCAGACUCCUACGGGAGGCAGCAGUGGGGAAUAUUGCACAAUGGGGGAAACCCUGAUGCAACAACGCCGCGUGAGUGAUGACGGUCUUCGGAUUGUAAAACUCUGUCUUCAGGGACGAUAAUGACGGUACCUGAGGAGGAAGCCACGGCUAACUACGUGCCAGCAGCCGCCGUAA